RNAcentral lists this ribosomal RNA (253 nucleotides) under uncultured bacterium. RNAcentral describes it as "partial 16S ribosomal RNA". It matches the Rfam family "Bacterial small subunit ribosomal RNA", at positions 524 to 776 of the family's 1533-position model. The record is from RNAcentral.
UACGUAGGGACCGAGCGUUGUCCGGAUUCAUUGGGCGUAAAGGGUGCGUAGGCGGUAGGGUAAGUCGGAUGUGAAAUCCCGGGGCUCAACCCCGGAACUGCAUUCGAUACUGCCUUGCUUGAGCACUGGAGAGGAGACUGGAAUUUACGGUGUAGCAGUGAAAUGCGUAGAUAUCGUAAGGAAGACCAGUGGCGAAGGCGAGUCUCUGGACAGUUGCUGACGCUGAGGCACGAAGGCCAGGGGAGCAAACGGG